RNAcentral lists this long non-coding RNA (1270 nucleotides) under Coturnix japonica (Japanese quail). RNAcentral's name for it is "lncRNA (ENSCJPG00005015499.1)". The record is from RNAcentral. Lineage: Eukaryota; Metazoa; Chordata; Aves; Galliformes; Phasianidae.
GCAGCUGAAGGACAUGGGGCUGAUAGAACUGCUCCAGGCCACAGCUGCCUCCUGCAAGGUGCCCCUUCCCUGUCCUUCAGCUGCUGCCUGUUCAGUGUCACCGUGCCACACACAGCCCUGCUGCACCCCAACCUCCCACUACAGCACCAUGCAGCAGGUGAGGGCACAAGGAUGGUGGUUGGCAUAGGAGAGGGAGAGCUGGGGAUGAGUUUGCCUUUGGGACCAGUGCAGGGCAGGCAGGGUUUGGGCACACAGCUGCUCUAUGCCACACAACGUUGUGCAGCAGCACCAGGACAGCAUGAAUCCCCAGGCACUGCACAGUGCAACUGGAGCAGCGAGCUUAAGAAAUGAGGAGGAUGGGGGGCAGGGCAGGAUGGAAUAAGCUAAAUAAAACCCAAUAAAAAUAAACCCCCAAACCCUCUCUGCUCCUCUUUGAUUCCUAUGGUGGCGGUAGUGAUGGGGUGUUAUUUUUUUUUACCUCUUUUUUUUUUCUUCUCUUUUUCUUUUUUUCACGCCAAGAUUACUAAUUGUCUGAGCAUCUCAAUUUGCUGGUUUCACUUAAUCACAGGCACUUUGGAGAUUAUCAGCCUUCCCCACAUGUUCGCUACCUUACUUCCCAACUCCCCGGCCCACGGGGAGCGCCUGCAGGAGCGACAGCAGCACCGCGUCCCUCCGGCUGCGCUGUCAGAGCCUGAUUGCCUCCAAGCCACCGAACUUCCCUUGGAUGGGGGUUGCCAGGAGUGCAGGGGGGGCCCGUUGGCAGCUCCCGGCAGCUCCCAGCCUUUGAUUUGCACAAAAGGAAAGGAAGGAGAGGCUGUGAAAUAACUGAAGCCGACGGAAAGGUGAAGUGCUGGGAGAGAUGAAGGAGGAGCGUUUGAAGGCAUUUUCUUCCUUUUUGUCACAUCUCACUGCAACGCGUUUCAUUCCUGGAGCUCAGCUCCUUCCUGGAAAGCCUGAACUGCUGUGGGGUUGAGGGGGGCUCGUUGUGGGGGUCUCAGCCCAUCUUUUGGUUCCUGGGGCCCAACCAGCAAUGGGGAUGUGAGCUCUGCCACAGCUACCCCAGGUGCCACCAAGACAUGUGGGCUCCAUGGGGGUCCCUGUGGUUGGGGUGGGUUGUGUGCUGCACCCCCUGCACUGUGAUACUGCGGUUAGAGGCACAUCCCUCCCCGCAUGAAGGGGGGGGGGGGGGGGGGGGGGGGGGGUGAGCGAGGAGCAUCAAACAGAAUAGACAAUGUGGAAAAAAAAAGAAGUGUCUGAAAUGAAAUUUCCC